ACUGUGUGAGCCAGCGAGAAGAAGUCAGUCCCCUCCUGCUCGGGCCAGUGCUGGGGCUCACCAGGUCACACAGAGCAGCUUCUGUCAGGGAGAGACUGGGCAGAUGCCGCCCCAGCGAUGGAUGAGCCCUGGAGGAGCGACUGGCUGCCUGUUGGUAACGUCCCACGGCUCUGGAGGAGGACGGGGCUGGAUCAGGCUUUACUUUGCCUGUGUGAAGCCACAAGAGAGAUUUAGGUGGGCAGGAGGGGUGCUGAGGCACAUGCAAGGGCAGACCGACUGACUGCAGCCCUGUUACACAAGCCAAUGCAGUUCCCCAACAGAGGAGGCUUGCUCCUUCCUCCCUGCAAAGCCAGGGAGAAAUUCUGGGCCCAUCAGUUGCUCAGGGCCCAAAGAGAACCCUUUUAAAGGGGCUGAAGGAGUUUGAAUGCCUGAAAAGUAAUAACAGCAGAACAAAGUCCAGCAUUGUUGGAAGUAGAUGAUCUUCAAGGUCCCUUCCAACCCAAACCAUUCUAUGAUUUAAGAGCAAGCACCGCAGUUUUCCUUGUGAGAAGGGCAGAGGCGAAGUAAAGGACGGCAAGACAAGGUUUAGUUGGCAGCAGUGAAUGGGGCUUCUCCCUGCCAAGACCCAGCCUCGCCUCUCUCAGGAUAUUUUUCAAAUCCAACCCUGGCACACCAGCAGAGCUUCACCUCAAUGGGCCUCUUUCUGCUCCUCCUCUCCCUUCCCUCUGGAGGGGAAAGUUGCAAACUCAGGCCAGUGACCAUCUCUGUGGACCCAGGGAUGGUGGCCAACUGCCAGCGGGGAAACUCUGCAAGAGGAGGAGGGCUCUCAGACUUUCAGCCUCCUCGCUGACCACGAUACUCGGCAGCUUGGUACCUUAUUUUGUAAAACCAGGGAAACUGGCUCCUGAUGUUGGCCGUGGAGGUCCUUUGGCUUUCCCCCGCCCCGAGGAAUCGCCAGGAAUUGCUGUGCCGGUUGCCCUGGCAAGGAGCCUUGCACCCACC
This is a long non-coding RNA of Calidris pugnax (ruff), 1002 nucleotides long. RefSeq lists it as uncharacterized. The record is from RefSeq and is a predicted model, not a curated record. Lineage: Eukaryota; Metazoa; Chordata; Aves; Charadriiformes; Scolopacidae. The transcript is spliced from 3 exons.